Molecule: ribosomal RNA, 253 nt
Filed under: uncultured bacterium
Lineage: Bacteria
Description: partial 16S ribosomal RNA
Rfam family: Bacterial small subunit ribosomal RNA
Source: RNAcentral
UACGUAGGGGGCAAGCGUUGUCCGGAUUUAUUGGGUUUAAAGGGUGCGUAGGCGGCCUAUUAAGUCAGUUCUGGAAUAUCCCGGCUUAACCGGGAGGGUGGGAUUGAUACUGAUGGGCUUGAGUGGAGUCGAGGUAGGCGGAAUUGACGGUGUAGCGGUGAAAUGCUUAGAUAUCGUCAAGAACACCGAUAGUGUAGACAGCUUACUAGACUUCAACUGACGCUGAGGCACGAAAGUGUGGGGAUCAAACAGG